RNAcentral lists this non-coding RNA (45 nucleotides) under Trypanosoma brucei brucei. The record is from RNAcentral. Lineage: Eukaryota; Euglenozoa; Kinetoplastea; Trypanosomatida; Trypanosomatidae.
CUAUAACUCCAAUGCGAUCAAGUUUCAGUGAUAAUAUGAUAAUUA